This 400-nucleotide ribosomal RNA is filed under the name uncultured bacterium. RNAcentral describes it as "bacterial SSU rRNA". It matches the Rfam family "Bacterial small subunit ribosomal RNA", at positions 356 to 773 of the family's 1533-position model. The record is from RNAcentral.
GGGGAAUAUUGCACAAUGGGGGAAACCCUGAUGCAGCGACGCCGCGUGAAGGAUGAAGUAUUUCGGUAUGUAAACUUCUAUCAGCAGGGAAGAAAAUGACGGUACCUGACUAAGAAGCCCCGGCUAACUACGUGCCAGCAGCCGCGGUAAUACGUAGGGGGCAAGCGUUAUCCGGAUUUACUGGGUGUAAAGGGAGCGUAGACGGUUAUGUAAGUCUGAUGUGAAAACCCGGGGCUCAACCCCGGGACUGCAUUGGAAACUAUGUAACUAGAGUGUCGGAGAGGUAAGUGGAAUUCCUAGUGUAGCGGUGAAAUGCGUAGAUAUUAGGAGGAACACCAGUGGCGAAGGCGGCUUACUGGACGAUCACUGACGUUGAGGCUCGAAAGCGUGGGGAGCAAAC